UCCGACGUGGUCUAGUGGCUAGGAUAUCUGGCUCUCACCCAGGUGGCCCGGGUUCGAUUCCCGGCGUCGGAA
This is a non-coding RNA of Lingula anatina, 72 nucleotides long. The record is from Rfam. NCBI's taxonomy places the organism in Eukaryota, Metazoa, Brachiopoda, Lingulata, Lingulida, Lingulidae.